RNAcentral lists this unclassified non-coding RNA (353 nucleotides) under soil metagenome. Its description in RNAcentral is "partial contains 5.8S ribosomal RNA, internal transcribed spacer 2, and large subunit ribosomal RNA". The stretch from base 1 to 120 matches the Rfam family "5.8S ribosomal RNA", at positions 35 to 154 of the family's 154-position model. The record is from RNAcentral.
GAUGAAGAACGCAGCGAAAUGCGAUAAGUAAUGUGAAUUGCAGAAUUCAGUGAAUCAUCGAAUCUUUGAACGCACAUUGCGCCCGCCAGUAUUCUGGCGGGCAUGCCUGUUCGAGCGUCAUUACAACCCUCAGGCCCCCGGGCCUGGCGUUGGGGAUCGGCGGAAGCCCCCUGCGGGCACAACGCUGUCCCCCAAAUACAGUGGCGGUCCCGCCGCAGCUUCCAUUGCGUAGUAGCUAACACCUCGCAACUGGAGAGCGGCGCGGCCACGCCGUAAAACACCCAACUUCUGAAUGUUGACCUCGAACCAGGUAGGAAUACCCGCUGAACUUAAGCAUAUCAAUAAGCGGAGGA